UACAGAGGGUGCGAGCGUUGUCCGGAAUCACUGGGCGUAAAGGGCGCGUAGGCGGCGCGACAAGUCAGGCGUGAAAGCCCCGGGCUCAACCCGGGAAUUGCGCUUGAUACUGUCGUGCUUGAGGCCGGGAGAGGAUGGCGGAAUUCCCAGUGUAGAGGUGGAAUUCGUAGAUUAUUCGCAAGAACACCAGUGGCGAAGCGGCUCACUGGCCCGAUACUGACGCUGAGGCACGAAAGCGUGGGGAGCAAACAGG
RNAcentral lists this ribosomal RNA (253 nucleotides) under uncultured bacterium. RNAcentral's name for it is "partial 16S ribosomal RNA". It matches the Rfam family "Bacterial small subunit ribosomal RNA", at positions 524 to 776 of the family's 1533-position model. The record is from RNAcentral.